Molecule: long non-coding RNA, 398 nt
Filed under: Mytilus galloprovincialis (Mediterranean mussel)
Lineage: Eukaryota; Metazoa; Mollusca; Bivalvia; Mytilida; Mytilidae
Source: RNAcentral
CAUAAAUAGUGACCAAAAAGGUAUGGCUAUCACAUGAGAGAAGCUAGAAAAAAGUCAAAUGUAUACAUUUUAAACAUUUUUGUGGGACCAUGAAAAUGUGGUAUAUAGAUAGAUAUGCAUAGAUAGACCAUAGAACAAAUAAGCAAACAAAUUCAAAGGAGAUGUACAUGUAAGAUGAAUUAUGAAAAAAAAGAGCCAUGGCCAGGGGCCCCAAACUUGACAGCAUUUGGUGUUGAACAGGUAAAAUGUUUGCAGUGACAAUAAAUAUAGCCUUUGUUAGAGGUGACCCAGGUCGCCUUUCUCUAAAUCAGCUAUAUUAAACAUAUUUCUGGGCCGGGUUGAAAAAUAAAUGAAAAUGACUUUAAAAAAAGCUAAUAGAAAUACACCAAAUUUGGGAG